RNAcentral lists this long non-coding RNA (392 nucleotides) under Jatropha curcas. RNAcentral's name for it is "long non-coding RNA (JCUR_LNC000138)". Lineage: Eukaryota; Viridiplantae; Streptophyta; Magnoliopsida; Malpighiales; Euphorbiaceae. The record is from RNAcentral.
UCCACUAGUGUCGUUUGACUUAAGCAAACAAGUGCACGACGGUGAUCUUGGUCUUCGUGUUUCCGUUCCAGAUCGGACGGCGGUGAUGCCUGAGAAAAGAACAACAGAGACGUGGGUGAUGGUCGAGAGCGUGACAGACACGUGCAUGGAUUUGGUAGAAGGACUAGGGAGAACGGACGUGGAGAAAAUAAAGAAUCUGGAGAGGGACACGUGUCCUGGAUUUAUAUCGGACGGUUCAAAUAGAGUACAGUGGGUAAACGAAGCUUACAAAAAGAUGGUAACGGUGGGCUCGGAAUACAACAGCAGGGGGCAGUCAUCGUCUCCGGAGAUUACGGUACGGUUAGCGAUAAAAGAGAAAGUGUUGCCUUAUCUGCACUGCAAUGCGUUUACGU